GUGCACGCUGGCGGUAGGCCUAACACAUGCAAGUCGCACGGCAGCACAGUAAGAGCUUGCUCUUACGGGUGGCGAGUGGCGGACGGGUGAGGAAUACAUCGGAAUCUACUUUUUCGUGGGGGAUAACGUAGGGAAACUUACGCUAAUACCGCAUACGACCUACGGGUGAAAGCAGGGGAUCUUCGGACCUUGCGCGAUUGAAUGAGCCGAUGUCGGAUUAGCUAGUUGGCGGGGUAAAGGCCCACCAAGGCGACGAUCCGUAGCUGGUCUGAGAGGAUGAUCAGCCACACUGGAACUGAGACACGGUCCAGACUCCUACGGGAGGCAGCAGUGGGGAAUAUUGGACAAUGGGCGCAAGCCUGAUCCAGCCAUACCGCGUGGGUGAAGAAGGCCUUCGGGUUGUAAAGCCCUUUUGUUGGGAAAGAAAGGCAGCAGGUUAAUACCCCGCUGUUCUGACGGUACCCAAAGAAUAAGCACCGGCUAACUUCGUG
RNAcentral lists this ribosomal RNA (491 nucleotides) under uncultured bacterium. Its description in RNAcentral is "partial 16S ribosomal RNA". It matches the Rfam family "Bacterial small subunit ribosomal RNA", at positions 29 to 507 of the family's 1533-position model. The record is from RNAcentral.